CCUAGCAACGACUGGAAUAGACAGCCACCAUUAUGGUCCCUAAGGUAACAUUCCAGAGAUGGCCAACAUUAAAAAUGCUCAUCAGUGGGUCACUGCCAAUGCCUGCCAUUUCACCAACAUACUAAGAUUAAAUACAUCUGUGUGGGGACGAGAUUCUUCUUACUAAAGACAAUAACUUGAUCUCAAAUCUUAUUCUGGCGACACAAAGUUUUCACGAAGCUUUGAAAGUUUCCUGACUACCAAAUAUCAAGGUUAGUUUGAAAUUUUUGGGAGACUGAGAGAAUCGAUCAUAUCAAGAAUUCAUGGGCGGAUGUACGUUGUACAAGGAGGGGCAGUUGCCACCCGUAAAAUAUGACAAAUAGUUAUUAGUGUUACCAAAUUUCAGAAAAAAACGCUUGUCACAAUGGAUUUUCCCCCCAUCCCAUCUAAGCCUUUGUCUCCGGUUCGAAACUUUUGUUUCUUCGUAGGCAUAUUCUUUAAAUUUAUUGAGUCCUAGUGGUUUGUCCGCGCUUCGCGGGGAUUGUUCGGUUUAAAAUUUAUGAUUUUGUUGGAUAAUUUUCAUUGUCAAUAGAUACAGAGGUUUUAAUACGGUUGUAUUUUAUGUGUUUGGCAUGCUAGUGUAAAGUUUUAUGUAAUGUGUGUAUCGUAAAUAUAAUGGGUGUAACAUAGUAAAUGUUUUGGCUUUUUAGGGUUGUCUUUAAGGUCAUAAAGAGGGGAUUGAUGAAAGAAAGGGGAAUGUUACUAUGAAAUUGUGGAAAAUACUAAGCAAAAACUCUGAUAUUUUCCAAUAGUGAAACACUAGUUGACUAUGAUAUUUCCCAAUAGUGAAACUCCUCUUUAGAUGCUUUCUGAUAAUUGGUUUCCAUGCUUCCCUUUCUAGUGGUUGAGGAAUGUUUUAAGUGAGCUUCUUCUGGGAGAUUUGAAUGUUGUUAUGUUAUUGUUUUGGAAUUAUAUAUUCGUUUGAAGAAAAUUUGGUGGGGCAUUCAGGAUUUUGUUUUGUUAUAUGAGGUGAUCUAACCGUGAUGAUGAUGUUGUAGGUCAGAUUUCAA
Molecule: long non-coding RNA, 1049 nt
Filed under: Brassica napus (rape)
Lineage: Eukaryota; Viridiplantae; Streptophyta; Magnoliopsida; Brassicales; Brassicaceae
Description: long non-coding RNA (BNAP_LNC003955)
Source: RNAcentral